UGGGAAUUUUGGACAAUGGGCGCAAGCCUGAUCCAGCCAUGCCGCGUGCGGGAAGAAGGCCUUCGGGUUGUAAACCGCUUUGUCAGGGAAGAAAUCUUCUGAGUUAAUACCUCGGGAGGAUGACGGUACCUGAAGAAUAAGCACCGGCUAACUACGUGCCAGCAGCCGCGGUAAUACGUAGGGUGCAAGCGUUAAUCGGAAUUACUGGGCGUAAAGCGUGCGCAGGCGGUUUUGUAAGACAGAGGUGAAAUCCCCGGGCUCAACCUGGGAACUGCCUUUGUGACUGCAAGGCUUGAGUGCGGCAGAGGGGGAUGGAAUUCCGCGUGUAGCAGUGAAAUGCGUAGAUAUGCGGAGGAAACACCGAUGGCGAAGGCAAUCCCCUGGGCCUGCACUGACGCUCAUGCACGAAAGCGUGGGGAGCAAACAGGAUUAGAUACCCUGGUAGUCCACGCCCUAAAACGAUGUCAACUGGUUGUUGGGAAGGUUCCUUCUCAGUAACGUAGCUAACGCGUGAAGUUGACCGCCUGGGGAGUACGGCCGCAAGGUU
RNAcentral lists this ribosomal RNA (547 nucleotides) under uncultured bacterium. RNAcentral's name for it is "partial 16S ribosomal RNA". It matches the Rfam family "Bacterial small subunit ribosomal RNA", at positions 356 to 895 of the family's 1533-position model. The record is from RNAcentral.